AGUGAACGCUGGCGGCAGGCUUAACACAUGCAAGUCGAGCGGCAGCGCGUCCGACCACCCUCGGGUGGUCGGAUGGCGGCGAGCGGCGGACGGGUGAGGAAUGCAUCGGAAUCUGCCUCGUUGUGGGGGAUAACGUAGGGAAACUUACGCUAAUACCGCAUACGACCUACGGGUGAAAGUGGGGGACCUUCGGGCCUCACGCGAUGAGAUGAGCCGAUGCCGGAUUAGCUAGUUGGCGGGGUAAAGGCCCACCAAGGCGACGAUCCGUAGCUGGUCUGAGAGGAUGAUCAGCCACACUGGAACUGAGACACGGUCCAGACUCCUACGGGAGGCAGCAGUGGGGAAUAUUGGACAAUGGGGGCAACCCUGAUCCAGCCAUGCCGCGUGUGUGAAGAAGGCCUUCGG
This 405-nucleotide ribosomal RNA is filed under the name uncultured bacterium. RNAcentral's name for it is "bacterial SSU rRNA". It matches the Rfam family "Bacterial small subunit ribosomal RNA", at positions 30 to 421 of the family's 1533-position model. The record is from RNAcentral.